CCUACGGGUGGCAGCAGUGAGGAAUAUUGGUCAAUGGACGAGAGUCUGAACCAGCCAAGUAGCGUGAAGGAUGACUGCCCUAUGGGUUGUAAACUUCUUUUAUAAAGGAAUAAAACGAGGCACGUGUGCCUUUUUGUAUGUACUUUAUGAAUAAGGAUCGGCUAACUCCGUGCCAGCAGCCGCGGUAAUACGGAGGAUCCGAGCGUUAUCCGGAUUUAUUGGGUUUAAAGGGAGCGUAGAUGGGUUGUUAAGUCAGUUGUGAAAGUUUGCGGCUCAACCGUAAAAUUGCAAUUGAUACUGGCAGUCUUGAGUACAGUUGAGGUAAGCGGAAUUCGUGGAGUAGCGGUGAAAUGCUUAGAUAUCACGAAGAACCCCGAUUGCGAAGGCAGCUUACUAAACUGUGACUGACAUUGAUGCUCGAAAGUGUGGGUAUCAAACAGGAUUAGAUACCCGAGUAGUC
This 460-nucleotide ribosomal RNA is filed under the name uncultured bacterium. Its description in RNAcentral is "partial 16S ribosomal RNA". It matches the Rfam family "Bacterial small subunit ribosomal RNA", at positions 338 to 795 of the family's 1533-position model. The record is from RNAcentral.